Long non-coding RNA from Hibiscus syriacus, 182 nucleotides. RefSeq lists it as uncharacterized. Lineage: Eukaryota; Viridiplantae; Streptophyta; Magnoliopsida; Malvales; Malvaceae. The record is from RefSeq and is a predicted model, not a curated record. The transcript is spliced from 2 exons.
AGAAACCGUAAACACCUAUCAAAUUUGAACUGGACUUCAUCCGCAAUGAAGAAGUAAUCAAACCCACUAGCAUACGGUGUUGCAAUUACCAAAACACCCCUUGAUCACAGAAAAGAUUAAAUAAUGAAUUCUCUUAAUUCUCGGAUUAGAUAGCAGUUUUGGUCAAAAAGCAUACAUAUAAG